UACGUAGGGGGCACGCGUUGUCCGGAAUCAUUGGGCGUAAAGCGCGUGUAGGCGGCCCGGUAAGUCCGCUGUGAAAGUCGGGGGCUCAACCCUCGAAUGCCGGUGGAUACUGUCGGGCUAGAGUGCGGGAGAGGCGAGUGGAAUUCCUGGUGUAGCGGUGAAAUGCGCAGAUAUCAGGAGGAACACCAAUUGCGAAGGCAGCUCGCUGGAACGUAACUGACGCUGAGACGCGAAAGCGUGGGGAGCAAACAGG
This 253-nucleotide ribosomal RNA is filed under the name uncultured bacterium. RNAcentral's name for it is "partial 16S ribosomal RNA". It matches the Rfam family "Bacterial small subunit ribosomal RNA", at positions 524 to 776 of the family's 1533-position model. The record is from RNAcentral.